CCGACAAGUAUGCUUGUCUCAAAUCCUUUCUACACAUUUUCUUAAUAAUAAGAUUAGAUAGCUCUGUUUGAAAUUAUGACAAAAAUGUUUCUUAGUUCUAGAUUGCAUGAAAUAAUGUGCGGUGCCGUUCCAAAACAUCUAGGUGCGUUGUGCGAAACAUUAAUUAUAGUCUAUUAAACGUGAAAAAAAAACUUGAAAAAGUAACUUUUUUUGGUGGAUUAAUUACAUUUAUCAAAUACUAAGAUGGUUUGAAUGCCAUUUCUAUGUAUUUUGUAUUUUUGCUGGCCCACAAGUACUUCAAUUUCUUGAUUGACACGCCAGUACUCUAAAGCUGAGUGAUGGUGAAUUUGCACCAACCGAGAACCAACGCCUACAAAGGAUAUCCGCUAGUUCUAUGAAAAUAACGACAAGUUAAUCCACAACACUUAUCAGUAGCUCCAAUGUCGAGAUGGCGUACACGUAGCAUCGUGUGUGAUAUUAAAAACCACAUUGAAUCUCUAUCUCAUAAAAGCCGAGCAAACUGAAGCCACGAGAACUGCAACUCAACCGAAACAUCACUGAUCCAAAUGCACCACAUCGGCGGCGGUGAUCCGACAAUGCACUAAAUCCGGUAUUCUGUCCAACUCCUAUCAGGCUCUUCGAGAAGACCAGAUUCAGCGGGAUUGUCCCGUCCGCCAAGUGGACAUCGCUUGGUGCCAGACUGGACUGCAAUGACAUUGACAGUGUGUAUAGUGCUGUAUGGAUACGCCUUCACUCUUGGAAGCAGUACAAUGAAUUUUCUCCGCAUGUGUUGCAGAGGGAGUUUUUAAACUGCUUUUCUAAAAAAAUCAAUUGAUGCAAUUGAAGCCAAAAAGCUUACCCAUAUGUGAUUGGCUGAUUUUUUUUUCUUCAAUUCACCCGGGUGCCCCGGUAGUUCCGUUUUGUUAUGUAAGAAACCGAUAGCGUAACAUUCUUUAUUUUGACUGACACAUAGGAGUGAGCCUGUAAAAUGUACUUCGAUUUGGCAACUUGAAUGCACUUUUUUGGUUAUUUUUCUUAAUGUUGAUCAGCUGAUUGGUUCUGUCUUUCACAGCAAGUAAAAGCACUUCGAUUUUACUGCAAACAAGCUCGUGAAUUAUGGCUCGUAGAAUAGUGUCACAAAAAACUUUGGACAGAAAGUCUACGCAUCGUUGUUCGUGUGCCUGUUUUUCCGGUAACAGCUUGGUUCUCCAUG
Molecule: long non-coding RNA, 1213 nt
Organism: Wyeomyia smithii (pitcher-plant mosquito)
Lineage: Eukaryota; Metazoa; Arthropoda; Insecta; Diptera; Culicidae
Exons: 3
Source: RefSeq, a predicted model, not a curated record